AGGAUUCCCCUAGUAACUGCGAGUGAAGCGGGAAGAGCUCAAAUUUCGAAUCUGGCGGUCUUCGGCCGUCCGAGUUGUAAUCUAGAGAAGCGUUUUCCGCGCUGGACCGUGUACAAGUCUCCUGGAAGGGAGCGUCAUAGAGGGUGAGAAUCCCGUCUUUGACACGGACUACCAGUGCUAUGUGAUGCGCUCUCGACGAGUCGAGUUGUUUGGGAAUGCAGCUCAAAAUGGGUGGUAAAUUCCAUCUAAAGCUAAAUACAGGCGAGAGACCGAUAGCGAACAAGUACCGUGAGGGAAAGAUGAAAAGAACUUUGGAAAGAGAGUUAAACAGUACGUGAAAUUGCUGAAAGGGAAACGCUUGAUGUCAGUCGCGUCACCCAGGGAUCAACCUUGCUUCUCGCUGGGUGCACUUCCUGGUCGACGGGUCAGCAUCAGUUUCGGUCGCCGUACAAUGGCGAAGGGAACGUGGCACUCUUCGGAGUGUGUUAUAGCCUUUCGUCGUAUGCGGCGGUCGGGACUGAGGAACUCGGCACGAUCUCGGUCUGUGUCUAGGAUGCUGGCAUAAUGGCCUUAAGCGACCCGUCUUGAAACACGGACCAAGGAGUCUAACAUGCCUGCGAGUGUUUGGGUGCCAAACUCGAGCGCGUAAUGAAAGUGAAAGUCGAGACCUCUGUCGUGGAGGGCAUCGACGCCCGGACCUGAGUCUUUGACGACGGAUCUGCGGUAGAGCAUGUAUGUUGGGACCCGAAAGAUGGUGAACUAUGCCUGAAUAGGGUGAAGCCAGAGGAAACUCUGGUGGAGGCUCGUAGCGAUUCUGACGUGCAAAUCGAUCCGUCCGAAUUUGGGUAUAGGGGCGA
Molecule: ribosomal RNA, 857 nt
Filed under: Pulchroboletus roseoalbidus
Lineage: Eukaryota; Fungi; Basidiomycota; Agaricomycetes; Boletales; Boletaceae
Description: eukaryotic LSU rRNA
Rfam family: Eukaryotic large subunit ribosomal RNA
Source: RNAcentral